This 301-nucleotide ribosomal RNA is filed under the name uncultured bacterium. Its description in RNAcentral is "partial 16S ribosomal RNA". It matches the Rfam family "Bacterial small subunit ribosomal RNA", at positions 509 to 807 of the family's 1533-position model. The record is from RNAcentral.
CAGCCGCCACGGGAAUACGAAGGGGGCUAGCGUUGUUCGGAAUUACUGGGCGUAAAGCGCACGUAGGCGGAUCUUUAAGUCAGGGGUGAAAUCCCGAGGCUCAACCUCGGAACUGCCUUUGAUACUGGGGAUCUCGAGUCCGGAAGAGGUAAGUGGAACUGCGAGUGUAGAGGUGAAAUUCGUAGAUAUUCGCAAGAACACCAGUGGCGAAGGCGGCUUACUGGUCCGGAACUGACGCUGAGGUGCGAAAGCGUGGGGAGCAAACAGGAUUAGAGACCCCCGUAGUCCCUGUCUCUUAUAC